GGCAGUUUGCUUCCAUAAGGCCAGCAGGAGGGUCUCUUUCCAGUGUGCCGGGAGUCGUCUGCACCGUCACCGUGGGCCUGGCCUCUGCCCCUUUGCCACAUCCUAUCAGCGGUAAGUGACCUCCCACAGAUUCCCUUAAUCUGUGCCCUCACAUCUGCUGGUGGCUGCGGGAGUUCCAGCAAAGUUGGAGACCCGCCCCUCAACAUGCAACUUGGGAGUGGCCCGUCCAGUCUCACCUGGCUGGAGCCUGUGUACACACGACCUCACUCUCUAAGAGGACGGAGGUGCUC
This is a long non-coding RNA of Herpailurus yagouaroundi (jaguarundi), 290 nucleotides long. RefSeq lists it as uncharacterized. Lineage: Eukaryota; Metazoa; Chordata; Mammalia; Carnivora; Felidae. The record is from RefSeq and is a predicted model, not a curated record. The transcript is spliced from 3 exons.